UGCAUAAACGAAGGCUAAGCUCUGUUUCUCUCUCUGUUUUGCUCUGUACUUGAAGAUCACUGUACUCUUCCGUUCAGCGCUCCACAGAUCUUCGCCUUCUCUGUCGGUCGGCUCUGGACUCUGAUUUUUUCUACAUUUUCUGUUCUCAGUUUCAAAUUUGGGGUUUCCCAUGGCCGUAGAUGAUUCCUGAGUCUUCUUCUCCGGCGAAGUUUGCCGUCCUUCAUGGACCACCGGCUGUAUGAUACCUGAGCUCCGUAGCAAAGCACGCCGGAGCCGCCUAUACGAAGACUCAGUCCCGAUUGCCCGCCAAACACUCAUUGAGUCAACUGUAAGAAUACGCCACCGAGGGCAACUGGCAGAACGCGGCGGAGGGAAGAGUGUUAAGGAGGGGAAAGACGCGAUCGUUGCCGAUGGUGAGAGGGUUAGAGUGAACCCUGGAAUCGGUAUUGAAACGAGGCUGCGUGAGAGAAAACACGAAGUUGGGAAGGAUAAAGACGUACUGAAGGUUGGUGGCAGAGCCAUGGAUGAGUUCGAAACCGGUGGACGGAACGGAGAUAAGGGUCCUGUAGCCGAGGAUGAAGGGACGGCUACUCCUCUUCCGGAGAAGGUUCAGGUUGGUGGUUCUCCGUUAUAUAAAGUUGAAAGAAAACUGGGAAAAGGAGGUUUUGGACAGGUGUUUGUGGGUCGACGCAUGGGUCCCAUGAGCUUGAAUGAAAGAUCUCCAGGAGCUGUGGAGGUGGCCUUAAAAUUUGAACAUAGAAGUAGUAAAGGGUGCAACUAUGGACCUCCUUACGAGUGGCAGGUUUACAACGUUUUAGGUGGUAACCAUGGUGUGCCACGAGUUCAUUACAAGGGUCGGCAAGGUGACUAUUUUGUCAUGGUUAUGGACAUGCUUGGACCCAGUCUCUGGGAUGUCUGGAAUAACAAUGCUCACACGAUGUCUAUUGAAAUGGUAGCAUGUAUCGCAAUUGAGGCAAUCUCUAUAUUAGAGAAGAUGCAUUCUAGAGGGUAUGUGCAUGGUGACGUGAAGCCUGAAAACUUUCUGCUCGGUCCUCCAGGAACCCCAGAAGAGAAAAAGUUGUUUCUUGUAGAUCUUGGUUUAGCAACCAAGUGGCGAGAUAGUUCGACUGGUCAACAUGUUGAGUAUGAUCAACGGCCUGACAUUUUCCGAGGAACAGUUCGGUAUGCUAGUGUGCAUGCACAUCUUGGCAGAACUGCUAGUCGAAGAGAUGACUUGGAAUCGCUUGCUUACACUCUUGUUUUUCUUAUUCGUGGUCGGCUGCCUUGGCAAGGAUAUCAGGGCGAAAAUAAAGGAUUCCUUGUGUCCAAGAAGAAGAUGGCUACAUCCUCUGAAACGUUGUGCUGUUUUUGCCCUCAGCCUUUUAGACAGUUUGUCGAGUAUGUUGUAAAUUUGAAAUUUGAUGAAGAGCCAAACUAUGCAAGAUAUAUCUCCCUCUUUGAUGGGAUUGUCGGUCCGAAUCCCGAUAUCCAUCCAAUAAACACAGAUGGUGCUCAGAAACUUAUAUUUCAGGUUGGGCAUAAGAGAGGAAGGCUAUCCAUGGAGGACGAAGACGAUGAACAACUGAAGAAGAAGGUUAGAAUGGGGAUGCCUGCAACUCAAUGGAUUAGUGUUUAUAACGCCCGUAGACCAAUGAAACAAAGAUAUCACUAUAAUGUUGCUGAUAUGAGGCUCUCUCAGCACAUCGAGAAAGGGAAUGAAGAUGGCUUAUUUAUUAGUUGUGUUGCUUCAUGUUCGAACCUUUGGGGCCUUAUUAUGGACGCUGGAACUGGAUUUACUGCUCAAGUUUAUGAACUCUCACCAUGCUUUCUUCACAAGGAGUGGAUCGUGGAACAGUGGGAAAAAAACUAUUACAUAAGUGCAAUAGCAGGAGCUAACAAUGGGAGCUCAUUGGUAGUAAUGUCCAAAGGGACUCAGUACCUCCAGCAAUCCUAUAAAGUCAGCGAUUCAUUUCCCUUCAAGUGGAUACUUAAGAAAUGGAGGGAGGGAUUUUACGUUACUGCCAUGGCUACUGCCGGGAGUAGAUGGGCUAUUGUCAUGUCACGUGGUGCAGGAUUUUCGGACCAGGUUGUGGAACUAGAUUUCCUGUAUCCUAGCGAAGGUAUUCAUCGCAGGUGGGAUGGUGGUUACCGCAUCACGUCAACUGCAGCAACUUUGGACCAGGCUGCGUUUGUUCUGAGUGUGCCAAGGCGAAAGCCCGCUGAUGAAACUCAAGAAACACUCCGAACAUCUGCCUUUCCUAGUACACAUGUCAAGGAGAAAUGGGCAAAGAACCUUUAUAUUGCAUCUAUUUGCUAUGGCCGAACCGUUUCAUGAAACACCCCUAAGCCGAUACCACUUAGAGCCUGAAAUUUUUAACAGACGGUGCUCUUCUCUGGUGGAUACGACGGGGGAAAAUGGAGUUGAUGUAGCUAAACUGUUCAUUAACGUCGCCACCGUACUACAUCAGAUACAGGCACCUAUGCUCUGGCUUUCAUUCAUGUUAUUCAAGAUUAUAAAGUUUCCUUCCCCCUGCAGUAGAUUACAAGAUUUCUCAUGAAGCCAGAGGUUCUGUAGCUGAACAUAGUCGAGGCACGAAUUGUGGCUACGUUCGGGUGUUCUGGAGGCUGAAUGUGCCAUUUUGCUAAUGGACUUGUUGGUCAGAUUCAGCCACCAUCUUUUAGCAGCUAGUUCGCCUCUUAUAUCUUGUCGAUUUGGUAAUGGCAGCCCACUAUUACCAUUCUCUUCUUGUGUUUGGCCUAGCGUUCGAGUCAAAAAAUUGCGGGACUCCAUCGUUCAUCGAGAAUGAAUAAUGGCUGCCUUCUGGUUUCCAAGUGCCAUCAAGCAGUUUCAUGCAGUUCUUUGAGCGAAGUGUUUUGGUGUUGUGUGGUGUUUGAAUCUUUGAUUAGCACUUCCACAAUCUAUAUGUAUAAUUGCUGACGCCUCUCGGAUGCCUAGCCACAUACACCGUGCAUGACAGGGUUUUAAGCUUG
Cucurbita maxima (winter squash) is the source of this 2991-nucleotide RNA transcript. It is a transcript of the gene named casein kinase 1-like protein HD16, with no coding region annotated. The record is from RefSeq and is a predicted model, not a curated record. Lineage: Eukaryota; Viridiplantae; Streptophyta; Magnoliopsida; Cucurbitales; Cucurbitaceae. The transcript has 18 exons.